CUAAAACCGCCGACGCAAGAGCCCACCAUUUUCCUUCCCAUUUUUUCUUUAUUUAUAAUCCGAAUUCCUACAAAGAACUUGUUUUAGAUUAGUUCUUGCAGAAAUCAGCUUCUGUUUCUUCUCUUUUCAGCAACCCAGCAGGGCUGGAUCAGGAUUUCAGAGAUCAGGGGUUUUGUUUCUUUGCAUUUAGUUCUAGUCGGAGAAUGGUGGGAUCGGAGAGUGAGAAGAAGAGCAGGACUGAGGGAAAGCCAUGGAGAUGGAUUAUGAUUGGUGCCGUCAUUGCUCUGAUUGUUGCUUUAACUACGGCUUCGAUUACUACCCCUAAGAUCUCUCUAUUCAGACACCCUUGUAGCUGCUCUCAGAAGUAUAGUGGGAUGGUGGAGGAUUGUUGUUGCGACUAUGAGACAGUGGACCGUCUUAAUGAAGAAGUGUUGUAUCCAUCUCUCCAAGAUCUCGUGAAAACCCCAUUUUUUCGAUACUUCAAGGUUAAGUUGGGGUGUGACUGCCCUUUCUGGCCUGACGAUGGCAUGUGCCACUUAAGGGAUUGCAGUGUUUGUGAAUGCCCAGAAAGUGAAUUCCCCAAAUCAUUUAGGACACCUUUCCAUCGAGGCCUUCCAUCAGAUGAUCUUCAAUGUCAAGAAGGAAAGCCUCAGGCUGCUGUUGAUCGUACCCUUGAUAGUAAAGCAUUUAGGGGAUGGACAGAAAUAGACAAUCCCUGGACAAAUGAUGAUGAGACUGACAAUGCUGAGAUGACAUAUGUGAAUCUUCAGUUGAACCCUGAACAAUACACUGGCUACUCUGGUCCAUCAGCUAGGAGGAUAUGGGAUGCUGUUUACUCUGAGAACUGCCCCAAAUAUCCAUCUGAAGAGUUGUGUCAAGAGGAAAGGAUAUUGUACAAGUUGAUAUCUGGUCUUCACUCCUCUAUUUCAAUUCACAUAGCAGAUCGUUAUCUACUUGACAAAUCUAAAAACUUGUGGGGCUGCAAUGCUACAUUGAUGUAUGAUCGGGUUUUAAGAUACCCUGAUCGUGUUAGAAACCUGUACUUCACUUACCUUUUUGUUCUCCGAGCUGUUAUGAAGGCUCAAGAUUACUUGGAACAAGCUGAAUAUGACACUGGUAAACCUACUGAGGACCUCAAGGCACAUUCCUUGAUGAGACAACUACUCUAUAACCCAAACCUUCAAGCAGCAUGCCUACUCCCAUUUGAUGAAGCUAAGUUGUGGAAGGGUCAACAUGGACCCAAACUGAAACAGAAGAUUCAAGAACAAUCCAGAAACAUUAGUGCAUUGAUGGACUGUGUAGGCUGUGAGAAGUGCCGACUUUGGGGAAAGCUUCAGGUUCUUGGUCUAGGUACUGCACUGAAAAUUCUCUUCUCUGAUAAUGGCUGGGAUCACUUGGGUCAGAUUUUGCAGUUACAAAGGAAUGAAGUGAUUGCCCUGAUGAAUCUCCUUAAUCGACUAUCAGAAUCUGUCAAACUUGUUCACGAAAUGGGCCCUGGUGUUGAAAUGAUCAUGGAAGGACAAAUUGCUGCACCUACAGCUUCAAGUAGCCUAUGGCAAAGAAUGCGAACAUUGUUAUUUAAAUCAUAGGUAAUUACAAAUUCAAAUGUUUGGCUGAUGAUGUUUCUAAAUUGAAGUGUACUUAUUGUUUUGUUGCUUGCAGCAAAUGGUAAUCCACUGAUGAGAACUCAACAUUGAAGCCAAACACGCAUACAAAAGAUAGAUUAGGAAAACCAUAAUCAAAGUUAAAAGGAAAUGUUGCCGUGGACAGAAUACAACAGGAAUGUAGAAGAGUAAUCUUGAGAAGUAUAGUGUUGGCGAAUUGUAUUUAUUUUCUUGUAAGCCAGUAUGCAGAGUGUCUUUCAGUGUUGGACAUUUUGAAAUCCUCGUUAAAAUGAAAAGGACAAUUGUUAGGACCGAAUCGUUUGAGCUAUGACCACCUGGAAUUAGUUCUCUUUCUUAUCAUUUUUUUCAUAUUGUUGAAUGCAAACUGCAAAUUGCAUUUAUGCAUUUGAAACAAAUAAAUGCAACGCCAAGUAU
This 2039-nucleotide unclassified non-coding RNA is filed under the name Hevea brasiliensis (rubber tree). Lineage: Eukaryota; Viridiplantae; Streptophyta; Magnoliopsida; Malpighiales; Euphorbiaceae. The record is from RNAcentral.